UAACGCGAAAGGCCUUACCAAAUCUUGACAUCCUUUGAAAACUCUAGAGAUAGAGCCUUCCCCUUCGGGGGACAAAGUGACAGGUGGUGCAUGGUUGUCGUCAGCUCGUGUCGUGAGAUGUUGGGUUAAGUCCCGCAACGAGCGCAACCCUUAAGCUUAGUUGCCAUCAUUAAGUUGGGCACUCUAGGUUGACUGCCGGUGACAAACCGGAGGAAGGUGGGGAUGACGUCAAAUCAUCAUGCCCCUUAUGAUUUGGGCUACACACGUGCUACAAUGGACAAUACAAAGGGCAGCUAAACCGCGAGGUCAUGCAAAUCCCAUAAAGUUGUUCUCAGUUCGGAUUGUAGUCUGCAACUCGACUACAUGAAGCUGGAAUCGCUAGUAAUCGUAGAUCAGCAUGCUACGGUGAAUACGUUCCCGGGUCUGUAACACACCGA
RNAcentral lists this ribosomal RNA (437 nucleotides) under uncultured Staphylococcus sp. RNAcentral describes it as "bacterial SSU rRNA". It matches the Rfam family "Bacterial small subunit ribosomal RNA", at positions 957 to 1393 of the family's 1533-position model. The record is from RNAcentral. Lineage: Bacteria; Bacillati; Bacillota; Bacilli; Caryophanales; Staphylococcaceae.